UACAGAGGUCCCAAGCGUUGCUCGGAUUCACUGGGCGUAAAGGGUGCGUAGGCGGCCGGGUAAGUCUGAUGUGAAAUCUCACAGCUUAACUGUGAAACUGCAUUGGAUACUAUCCGGCUCGAGGAAUGGAGGGGAGACUGGAAUACUUGGUGUAGCAGUGAAAUGCGUAGAUAUCAAGUGGAACACCAGUGGCGAAGGCGAGUCUCUGGACAUUUCCUGACGCUGAGGCACGAAAGCCAGGGGAGCAAACGGG
RNAcentral lists this ribosomal RNA (253 nucleotides) under uncultured bacterium. Its description in RNAcentral is "partial 16S ribosomal RNA". It matches the Rfam family "Bacterial small subunit ribosomal RNA", at positions 524 to 776 of the family's 1533-position model. The record is from RNAcentral.